AGUGAACGCUGGCGGCAGGCCUAAUACAUGCAAGUCGAGCGGACACACAGUAAGCUUUCGCCUCUAACGGUAGCGGGUGGCGGAUGAGUAACGCAUAGAUAACCUACCUAUUAUACGUGGAGGACUUCGUAGGACAACUGCUGCUACCACAGAAUAUGUUCUACCGGUUAAAGCAAUGGAGCAACGCACCUUUCGUGUCUGAAUUAGCUGGUUCCGCGCCGCAUUAGCUAGUUGGUAAGGUAACGGCUUACCAAGGCAACGAUGCGUAGCCGACCUGAGAGGGUGAUCGGCCACACUGGAACUGAGACACGGUCCAGACUCCUACGGGAGGCAGCAGUAGGGAAUCUUCCGCAAUGGGCGAAAGCCUGACGGAGCAACGCCGCGUGAGUGAUGAAGGUCUUCGGAUCGUAAAACUCUGUUAUUAGGGAAGAACAAAUGUGUAAGUAACUAUGCACGUCUUGACGGUACCUAAUCAGAAAGCCACGGCUAACUACGUG
RNAcentral lists this ribosomal RNA (497 nucleotides) under uncultured bacterium. RNAcentral's name for it is "partial 16S ribosomal RNA". It matches the Rfam family "Bacterial small subunit ribosomal RNA", at positions 29 to 507 of the family's 1533-position model. The record is from RNAcentral.